Molecule: non-coding RNA, 273 nt
Organism: Zootoca vivipara (common lizard)
Lineage: Eukaryota; Metazoa; Chordata; Lepidosauria; Squamata; Lacertidae
Source: RefSeq, a predicted model, not a curated record
GUUUGCCAGCUGAGGUCACAAAGUGCUGCUUUUCAAGCAAGCCUUAAAAUGCCCUGCAAGGGGGAUGCCUCUCAGAUGUCAGUGAGAGACUGAAAAAUGAAUUCUGAAGGUCCUAAGAGCCUAUUGUGGCGCCGGAAGGAGAAUGAAACUUUGGCCGUUGUGGGCCAUGGUUUGGGAAAGGCGGCAGCAGCAGCAGCAGCAGCCCAGCAGCAGCCCAGCGGUGCAGCAAAAUCCAGCAAAAUGUGGAGGCGAGAGGCCAGCCAGAACAAGGGG